CCCCUCUCAGGGUUGCAUCUGGAGAGUUUCCAGUACUCUACCAGUCUCGACUGUGGGAGGGAGGGUCAAGCAGAGGCCUCUCCAUUCCAUUCUUAGCUUGGCCAGUGGCUAGCGAGUGGACGGCAAUCUGUUACAGGU
This is a small nucleolar RNA of Ornithorhynchus anatinus (platypus), 138 nucleotides long. Lineage: Eukaryota; Metazoa; Chordata; Mammalia; Monotremata; Ornithorhynchidae. The record is from RefSeq and is a predicted model, not a curated record.